Phrynosoma platyrhinos (Desert horned lizard) is the source of this 72-nucleotide non-coding RNA. NCBI's taxonomy places the organism in Eukaryota, Metazoa, Chordata, Lepidosauria, Squamata, Phrynosomatidae. The record is from the annotation of a GenBank genome assembly.
GCCAGGGUGGUGCAGUGGUUUGAGCAUUGGACUAUAACUCUGGAGACCAGGGUUCGAAUCCUGGCUCUGCUG